This 460-nucleotide ribosomal RNA is filed under the name uncultured bacterium. RNAcentral's name for it is "partial 16S ribosomal RNA". It matches the Rfam family "Bacterial small subunit ribosomal RNA", at positions 338 to 795 of the family's 1533-position model. The record is from RNAcentral.
CCUACGGGCGGCAGCAGUGAGGAAUAUUGGUCAAUGGACGAGAGUCUGAACCAGCCAAGUAGCGUGAAGGAUGACUGCCCUAUGGGUUGUAAACUUCUUUUAUAUGGGAAUAAAACGUUCCACGUGUGGGAUUUUGUAUGUACCAUAUGACUAAGGAUCGGCUAACUCCGUGCCAGCAGCCGCGGUAAUACGGAGGAUCCGAGCGUUAUCCGGAUUUAUUGGGUUUAAAGGGAGCGUAGGUGGAUUGUUAAGUCAGUUGUGAAAGUUUGCGGCUCAACCGUAAAAUUGCAGUUGAAACUGGCAGUCUUGAGUACAGUAGAGGUGGGCGGAAUUCGUGGUGUAGUGGUGAAAUGCUUAGAUAUCACGAAGAACUCCGAUUGCGAAGGCAGUUCACUGGACUGCAACUGACACUGAGGCUCGAAAGUGUGGGUAUCAAACAGGAUUAGAUACCCUUGUAGUC